GUGUAAGCAUUGAACUCCGUUAACACAUUUGAUCUCAUCUGAUCUCAGAAGCUAAGUGGGAUACAGCCUAGUUAGUGCUUGGAUGGGAGACCUGAAGUAAGUCAUAAAACACC
Ribosomal RNA from Cricetulus griseus (Chinese hamster), 113 nucleotides. The record is from Ensembl. NCBI's taxonomy places the organism in Eukaryota, Metazoa, Chordata, Mammalia, Rodentia, Cricetidae.